UACAGCUGAAAGAAAAUCUUGAGUCGGAAUUUCAAGCUCAAGAAUGAUCUUUAAUGCAUGAUUGUAGAAGUUUGUUUUUAUUUAGUCCCAGCAUCUUUUUAAAAUACUACAUUAGACAUGUCAUAGCAGGAAAAGCACAGGUGUAUUUAAUAACAUUAACGAUGGCUGCAUUCCACUUAGGGGAAGUCCCGGUAUUGUGCGUGCUGGAUUACUGGAAUAGCUUGAUGGAACUGAGCCAUCGUUAAUGUUAUUAGUUCCACCUGUGCUUCUCUACAUGUGGUCAGGACAGAAAAAGAAAGACAUGACAGAAGCCCAUCAGGAUGACAGAAAUAUCCCUCAACAUGAACUCACGGUCACUUGACGCUUACUUUACUUUUAAUUUCCUUUACAUUAGUCAUAUCUGAAUGUAUUUGGUGUGUAAUUGGAUUUUAGUGUAGCCGACUUUAUGAUACAGCUAUGCACAUGGGUAAGCUGUUAUUUAAAUCAAAGCUUACUUUAUAUUUUCCAUUUAGGAUCUGCUGUCUCAAGUGUCCAUGAAUACAUUACACCAUCACUGUAUAUGAAUCAUGAGGCAAAUUAGAGCUAUUACAGUACUGUGAAUAACUACAUAAAUGAAACUGCCGUGUUAGGUUCUGAUAAGGUGAGCUUCGACUCAAGCCACCAAAUCCCAUACAGCUCCACGCAGAGACUGUACGACAUAUGGCUUGGCGUCACCACACUGAGCCCCGGGCCCAGUCUCUUGAGCAGUGGUCAGUGUGUGGCUAAUAUGUAACAAGACAUGACACUUCAAAAGUCCAACAUGUGCCACAAGCGAUAACAAACCGCCGCUACGCUCACUCUGCAAGCUUGUGGACUCAGCAGCUCGGGAUGACAGCAUCUUUAUCUCGCCUCAAUGCAGAGCCAGCGUUGUAGUUUGAUAUCAUUUUGAUCUUGCAGAAUAAAAUGUUUCUUCAUCUGUGUCCUCUCUCCGAGCUACUUGUCCUUCACUGUCCUCAGCUUCUCUGCAGGUGGCAUAUUUGCAUCUGCUUUUUUGCAGAGACAUCCCCAUGGCGUCUGUGUCAUGCCUGGAGACCUCCUGUAAUCUCCUCGGUAUGCUGUGUGAAAUGGGCCAUGACCUCUUCCACUCUUUCUUUCUAUCUAUCUCACUCCGUCCCUCACUGUGCUCUCUCUCUCUCUCUGUCUCUGUGAUGCAGGAGGAUAAUUCAUACUCACCAACUAAGAGCUGACUGCAGAGAAUUACAGGCCAGAACUCAUUUACAGCAAGAAUACAUUACAGCUUUUAGAUUUUGGUAUCUGGCUGCAGGGAAGAGCCUUGGUGAGGUCGGGCGCUGAUGCUGGGUGAUGAGGCCUGGCUCACAGUCGGUGUUCCAGUUCAUCCCAAAGAUGCUGGAUGGAGUUGAGUGGCCAAAGAAAUGAGUUCCUCCACGUAGGAAGAAACCGGGAGAAAAUAAACCUCCAGGACGCCAAACCAAACUUGAAGCCUCCCUGUUUAUUUCAAAGCUCACAAGUAGGGAUUACAAAAUUACAGUGCUUCAAUUGCAACAGUUCAAGGAGUAGUAGGAGAAGAGUAGGAGAGAUGACAGACCAGUUGAGGAAUUUUGAGCAAGUCAUGCAAAAAGGUGUGGGAGAAGGCCUCCGUUAUAAUAGCACCCUUUGUGGAAAAAAAUAAAUCCAUCUGUCAGUCUGUCAGUGCAAAAAUAGUAAUGAAUAUAUGCAUACAAAGAAAAUAGAUAUAUAUUUAUAUACUGUAUAUAUUUGACCGUUGACUACAGGACACAAAGAAAGAUACAGAGACUUGUAGAGCGAAGCCCGUUUCCACCAGAGCCUCUGAGCCCAAAGCAGAGACUCUUAAACAAGUCUAGUCGUAAAGAGUGCCCAUCCAAUAUGACAGCUUGAUAUUGUUCUAAUACAGAACCGUGUUUCCAAAUAACAGGGAACAGAUACCCAGAUGCCUCUUGGAGCUGUCAAUCAGGCUAUGACCUCUACAGAAAGAGCAGUGUGGGAAAAGACAGACAGCACCAUAAUGACUGCGAGUGUCCCUCACAGACCAGGAGCACACAGCAUGCUUCAUUUUUCCAACCAGAGAGUAAUGUACAGUACGACGGUUACAUUGUUCAGUCAAAUAGAUCAUUACAUACAAAAGCCAUGUGCCGCUGCGGUUGUAGGAACCAGCAGAUGGGACGAAAAGGUACAUUAUUCUUAUAUAACAUUGGCUCAGAUGUUAAGCACUCUCUUUUUUUUUUUUGCAAAUCACUGAAUAUAAAUGCACAAGCUACAAACGUGUGGUAAAUUGUUAUUAUAUACCUUUUUAUCAUAUUCAAAUAUAUUGUGGAGCACCAGUAGACACCAAUGACAACAGCAACAAAAAUACAAGUGAGGACACGUCGCCACACAAACAUUUUUUUUUUUAAAAACUUCUUUGUCCAUAAUUCACACUUAAAAAACUCACUUAAAUCUGAGGCUGCAAACUGUUAUUCAUGCUCGAACUUUUCGCAAAGACCUCACAAAACAUUUUCAUGACAGUUGGGUAAAGACACAACCUGUUACAAUUUAAUUUGCAUAGCAUGAAUUUUCACAUGAGGGAUUUUUUAAGCUUAUUGUUGUGAAUCUUGGUGUUGUAAAGCCUUACUGAGUGCACUGUGUAUUUGUGUUCACUAUGCUAUGAAAAUUCCUUGCAUUCUCCUUCAUCUCGCUGACAGAGACA
Molecule: long non-coding RNA, 2704 nt
Organism: Siniperca chuatsi (mandarin fish)
Lineage: Eukaryota; Metazoa; Chordata; Actinopteri; Centrarchiformes; Sinipercidae
Exons: 3
Source: RefSeq, a predicted model, not a curated record